Molecule: ribosomal RNA, 98 nt
Filed under: Caerostris darwini
Lineage: Eukaryota; Metazoa; Arthropoda; Arachnida; Araneae; Araneidae
Source: RNAcentral
AACGGCCCUACCAUGCUGAAUAUACCGGUUCUCGUUCGAUCACCGAAGUCAAGCAUCAUUGGGCGCGGUCAGUACUUGGAUGGGUGACCACCUGGGCG